This 448-nucleotide ribosomal RNA is filed under the name uncultured bacterium. RNAcentral's name for it is "partial 16S ribosomal RNA". It matches the Rfam family "Bacterial small subunit ribosomal RNA", at positions 29 to 523 of the family's 1533-position model. The record is from RNAcentral.
AGCGAACGCUGGCGGCAGGCCUAACACAUGCAAGUCGAACGAAGUCUUCGGACUUAGUAGCGGACGGGUGAGUAACACGUGGGAACGUGCCUUUAGGUUCGGAAUAACUCAGGGAAACUUGUGCUAAUACCGAAUGUGCCCUUCGGGGAAAGAUUUAUCGCCUUUAGAGCGGCCCGCGUCUGAUUAGCAAGUUGGUGAGGUAAAGGCUCACCAAGGCGACGAUCAGUAGCUGGUCUGAGAGGAUGAUCAGCCACAUUGGGACUGAGACACGGCCCAAACUCCUACGGGAGGCAGCAGUGGGGAAUCUUGCGCAAUGGGCGAAAGCCUGACGCAGCCAUGCCGCGUGAAUGAUGAAGGUCUUAGGAUUGUAAAAUUCUUUCACCGGGGACGAUAAUGACGGUACCCGGAGAAGAAGCCCCGGCUAACUUCGUGCCAGCCGCCGCCGUAA